Oncorhynchus tshawytscha (Chinook salmon) is the source of this 1236-nucleotide long non-coding RNA. The record is from Ensembl. Lineage: Eukaryota; Metazoa; Chordata; Actinopteri; Salmoniformes; Salmonidae.
UUCGGAGGCUCUCUCUGCUCUCUCAUGUACGUUCAAACUGGAUCAUAUCCUGGAUAUGAUUCAAUCAGAGUUUCCCCGGGGCUCUGAUAACAGUCUGAGAUAGAGGGAUACACUGUUAUCACUGUUACCUCACCAGGUGUCCUGGUCCAGGUCUCUCCCAGGUUCUCUCCCUAUAACCAGGUGUCCUGGUACAGGUCUGUCCCAGGCUCUCUCCCUAUAACCAGGCGUCCUGGUCCAGGUCUGUCCCAGGCUCUCUCCCUAUAACCAGGUGUCCUGGUCCAGGUCUGUCCCAGGCUCUCUCCCUAUAACCAGGUGUCCAGGUCUGUCCCAGGCUCUCUGCCUAUAACCAGGUGUCCUGGUCCAGGUUUGUCCCAGGCUCUCUCCCUAUAACAAGGUGUCCUGGUCCAGGUUUGUCCCAGGCUCUCUCCCUAUAACCAGGUGUCCUGGUCCAGGUUUGUCCCAGGCUCUCUCCCUCUUGAACAUGGCAAUAUGUGAAACUUACUCCUCAGCCUGACCAGACCCCACUUACGCCAGUGAAUAGCUGGCUUUUUUGUUGUUGUUGCGUGGCGCCGACUGGUAAGACGUUUCAGGAGGGCGGUCGCGUGUGCUAGCAAGGCAGAGGUCCCGAGUUCGUUCCAGGUACGGGCUGAAUCAGGAGAAAGUGGUACUCGCUAAACAAACAGCGUGACGCCGUUUACAUUGUUCGCCAUUCUGUUUUUCUGCACCGUAUAGAAUCGUGAACACGUCAAUCAGGCUGCUUCUACCAGGCUAUAUGUAGCGUGUUUUGUUUACAUUUUGCUUUCACCUGCAGGUUCAUUUUUAAAUAAAAAAAAAGUUACGAUUUAAUUCUGACCUUCAAGGGGCAGGUUGAGAGUACUCGAUGAAAUGUAAUUUGAUUUAAACUUCAUGUUACCAGGUUGGAAGGCAGUCUGUUGAGGUUGAGAGAGCAUUUUAAAACGUGGAUGGGAACGACGGUUGUCAUUCAAUUUACACGGUGAGAUGAACACACGGUUUGUUCAGCAGUAAAGUGGAGCGGAACGAUGAUCCAACAGAAGAUAAUCCAGAUGAAAUGAGUAAAGGAGGAGUGGGCUUCCCUCUGGACCGGACAGCUGAGUGUCACUCAUCUCUGAUUGACAGGUGAGUGAUCAUGACGACGGUUGUCAUGACGUUGUGACCUGGAAAUGGAAUGUUGUAUUUUUCACCCUGGGUGAAAGGAAUCCUUUUAGUUCCUCUUUG